AUGAAUGAUCUAUGUAUAACAUUCCAAAUUGAAAAUUUGGGAUGUUACAAACCUACCCCCCUUAAGAUGAAUCUUGCCCUCGAGAUUCGGGUUGGCUAGAAAAUAGGUGUGGGUGGUCUUUGCGAAGAUCAUCCUCUCGUUCCCAGGUGGCUUCAUCUACGGUAUGGUGGCUCCACUAAACUUUGCAAAACUUGAUAACCUUGCUGCGAGUGACUCGACUGGCAAACUCAAGAAUCUUGACUGGCUUCUCCUCAUAAGUCAAAUCACCGUCCAACUGAAUCGCCUCCAAGGGUACUGUAUGUCUUAACGGUAUAUCGGCCAUCUCAGCAUGACACUUCUUCAACUGUGAAACGUGGAACACAUCAUGAACUCCUGACAGUCCUUCAGGUAACUCCAACUUGUAGGCAACUUCUCCCAUACGUUCCAAAACACGAUACGGUCCUACAAAUCUCGGGGCUAACUUUCCCUUAAAUCCAAAACGUUUCACUCCGUGCAAGGGUGAUACUCGCGUAUAUGCUCUAUCUCCAAUCUCAUAAGUUACCUCCUUGCAUUUCGAGUCUGCAUAACUCUUCUGCCUGGACUGAGCUAUCUUCAGUCUAUCUCGAAUCAGCUUAACUUUCUCUUCAGACUCCUUGAUCAAAUCUGGUCCACACAACUGUCGGUCUCCAACUUCAUACCACAUCAACGGUGUCCUGCACCUUCAUCCAUACAGGGCUUCGAACGGAGCCAUCUUCAAACUAGCUUGGUAACUAUUGUUGUAUGAGAACUCCACGUAAGGCAAAUUGUCGUCCCAACUAGAUCCAUAAUCUAGCGCACAGGCUCUCAACAUGUCCUCCAGAAUCUGGUUGACUCUCUCGGUCUGUCCAUCUGUCUGCGGGUGAAAUGUUGUACUGAACUCCAAUCUUGUUCCCAAAGUCUGGUGCAACUGAUGCCAAAACUUUGAGGUAAACUGUGUUCCUCUAUCGGAUACGAUGGUUCUCGGAACUCCAUGCAGACAUACGAUCCUGGACAUAUAUAUCUUCGCCAACUUCGCACUUGUAUAAGUUGUCUUCACUGGGAUAAAGUGAGCCACUUUAUUCAAGCGAUCAACUACUACCCAUAUAGAAUCAUAUCCUAAUUUGGUCCUAGCCAAUCCGGUGAUAAAAUCCAUGCCAAGUUUAUCCCACUUCCAUUCGGGUAUCGACAUAGGCUGUAACAACCCUGCUGGCUUUUGAUGCUCUGCCUUCACUCUCUGACAUAGAUCACAUACGGCUACAUACUCAGCGAUAUCCUUCUUCAUCCCUGUCCACCAGAAACGUUCCUUCAAAUCCAAAUACAUCUUGGUGUUUCCGGGGUGUAUCGAGUAUGUUGAGUCAUGAGCCUCCUGAAGUAUUAACUUCCUGAUCUCUGUGUUAUUGGGCACAUAACUCGGUCCUCAAACCAUAAGGUGCCGUGCUCAUCCUCACGAAAACCAUUGGCCUUUCCUUUGCUCAUUCCCUCUUUUAUCUCGGCAAUCUCUUUUUCAUCCUUCUGAGCUUCUCGAAUCUUUCCUAACAAUGUAGACUGAACCUCCAUUGUUGCAACAAAACAUCUAGGAACAAUCUCCAAUUGAAGUUCCCUGAGAUCCUCUGCUAACUCCUUUGGCAAUCCCGUACUCUAUAGGAUAUUAGCAUAACUCUUCCAGCUCAAAGUGUCUGCUACAACAUUGGCCUUUCGUGGGUGAUAGUGCAGCUUCAUGUCAUAAUCCUUUAUAAGCUCCAACCAUCUCCUCUGCCAAAUGUCAGCUCCUUCUGUGUGAAAAUGUACUUCAAACUCUUAUGAUCCGUGUACACAUCACAAUGGUUUCCAAUAAGGUAAUGUCUCCAAGUCUUCAACGCAUGCACCACGGCUGCUAGCUCCAAAUCAUGGGUGGCAUAAUUCAACUCGUGAGGUUUCAGUUGUUGUGAGGCAUACGAGACAACUAUUCCGUCCUGCAUAAGCACACUUCCAAGUCCUAGGCGAGAGUCAUCGUAAUACACUUGGAAAUCAUUACGUAUAUCUGGCAGUGUCAUCACUGGGGCUAUAGUCAAACGUUUCUUUAACUCCUGGAAACAUGCCUCACAAUCUUCCAUCCAUUUAAACUUGGUAUCCUUCUUCAAUAACUCCGUCAUUGGCUUCGCAAUCUUCAAUAACUCCAAGUUCAGCAAAUGCGAGUCCAAGAAAACUGCGGAUCUCGCUACCUGAAGUGGGUGCCAACCAUUCAGUGACUGACUGGACCUUGGUAGGGUCUACUGCUAUACCUUCUCCUGAUAUAACAUGUCCAAGGAAUCCGACUUCCUUCAACCAAAACUCGCAUUUGCUGAACUUGGCAUACAAAUGGUGUUCCCUGAGUUUCUCGAGAACUAAACGCAAAUGCUCCUUGUGCUCCUCUUCAUUCUUCGAGUCUACCAUUAUUGGAUCAAUAAACACCACAACAAACUUGUCCAAAUACUCCAUGAACACCUUGUUCAUCAUGCUCAUGAAAUAGGAGGGGCGUUAGUCAGUCCAAACGACAUGACCGUAUAUUCAUACAAUCCGUACCAUGCGGUGAAUGUUGUCUUUGGUAUAUCCUUCUCGCAAAUCUUCAACUGGUGGUAUUAUGAUCGCAAAUCGAUCUUCGAAAACACCUUAGCUUCUUGCAGCUGGUCAAACAAAUCAUUCAUCAUCGGUAGUGGGUACUUGUUCUUGAUCGUCACUUCAUUCAAGGCCCGAUAAUCAACAACCAUUUUUAGAGACUUAUCCUUCUUCUCAACCAAAAGCACUGGGGCUCCCCAUGGUGAUGAACUCCGUCGAAUGUAUCCUUUCUGCAAUAACUCCUUGAUAUGUUUCUUAAUCUCCUCCAGAUCAUUCACGAGCAUCUGAUAGGGUCUCUUGGAUAUUGGCCCUGUACCUGGCAAUAGCUCUAUCAAAAACUCGAUGUCUCGAUGUAGUGGCAUGCCUGGUAACUGCUCUGGGAAAACAUCCGGGUAAUCCUUUACUAUAGGCACUUCCUCCUGAACAACUCCUGUGAGGGUAUUCACUUGACUACUCCUUGGCGCAUGCCUAGAUAUAUACUUGAUCAUUUUUCUCUCCGGGGUGGUGAGACAAAUUGACUUACUAACACAGUCAAUGCUUCCUCCAUACUUUGACAUCCAGUACAUUCCUAAUAUCACAUCCAAUCCUUGUGACUCCAAGAUAAUUAGGUCAGACGGAAAAACAUGGUUGCCAAUGGUUAAGCGUAUCUGGUCGCACCAUCGACUAGCCAUAUACUCUGCUCCAGGUGAACUCACUAACAGGGGAUCCUAAGGGUUCGGGUUGGUAGUCUAAACAAAUCCAUGAAUCCCCUUGAUAUAUAUGAAUGUGAUGCACGAGUAUCAAAAAGAACAAGAGCGGUAAAUGACUUGAUAAAAAACUUACCUAUAACCCCGUCUGGCUGCUCUUCAACAUCCUCCACGUUAACAUGGUUCAUUUGUCCUUUGUUGAAUGAAUUGGGCUUCUUCCCAGCACUCCCAUUUCUGUUUCCAUUCUUCCCUUCAGGGCACUCCGUGGCAUAGUGUCUAGUCUUCCCGCACUUAUAGCAAGUAAUGUGACUUAGAUCUCUUUUGGCGGGUGUCGCUGGAUUAGGGCAGUUCUGAUUGUUGUUUGUCCCGUUCCCAUUUCCAUUCUAAGGACCAGUGUGGUUAUGUAAACCUCCUCCGAUGUGGUUAUGACCUCCAUGGUUAUGAACAAGUCCUCCCAAGUUCGGGAUUAGGCGAGGCUUCUGCUGAGCUCCUGAGUUAUACCUCCCUUGCCCAUACUUCCUCUUACGACUCUCAAUCUGCUGCUGCUUCCCUUCAAUCAUAAGAGCCUUAUCUACCAACUCCUGGUAGUUGUUGAAGGUUGCUACCAUCAACUGCAUGCUCAUCUCAUCAUUCAGCCCUUCCAUAAACUUCUCCUGCUUCGCGGCAUCUGUGGCCACAUCAUCAGGGGCAUAGCGUGAUAACUUGCUAAACUCAUCUAUGUAUUGAGCCACAGUAUGGUUCCCCUGGCGUAAGUUGCAAAACUCACGCUUCUUCAUACUCAUAGCUCCAGUUGGGACAUGGGCUGUACGGAAAGCUUGCUGAAACUGAUCCCAUGUCACCGUGGCUAUAGGGUAAGUGGCAGUGUAAUUCUCCCACCAUGAGGCUGCUGGUCCAUCCAACUGAUUUGCGACAAAACACACCUUCUCAGCAUUGGUACAUUCUGAAGGGGUUAACUCCCUUCCAAUCCUGCGGAGCCAAUCAUCUGCUACUAUGGGCUCGGUGCUACUGGAAAACACCGGCGGUUGCAACCUCAGAAAACGGGCUAAGUUAUCAACUGGUGGUGGUGGUGGUGGAUUGUUGUUGUUGUGGUGCCUUGGUUCUGGACUAAUAACUACAUCAGGGUAUUCUGCUGCUGGAUCAACUGAGUGAGCUCUGGUGGGAAGGUAAAUCCGGGGUCAUGUCUCGGAGGCUUCUGAUGGGUUUAGAGGGAAGAGAUCAGAAUAGAGAAAAGGGGUCUAAUGAGAAAGCACUACCCAUAUGCACAUGAGACAAACACAAUCAUUUCACUCAAUCAAUCAAGCAAGGGCAUACAAUCGAUCUAACUAUCAUUAUAAAAGUGCUCAGACUAUACUAUAUAUAUGGUGGAAUACUACUACUAAUGUGGGGGUCUACUAAAAAUAUUGAUCGGUCGAAGAUUCCAUGAUGUCUGCUCCAGCUUCGUCUUCAUAGUCAUCAUCGCUAUUGUCGGGGUCUGAGUCGAUGUCGUCGAUGAUGAUGUAGUCCUCCAGACGAAUCUCCUUGGGUUAUUUGUCUUCUUCUCCUGGAGCGGGGUCUCCCAUGAAUACUCCUAGCUUCCUUUCCAGAUCAUCAUUCUUCUCCACUAGUAUGACGAUUUCUUCCUCAUAAUCUUCACGAGUAGCCUUGAGUUCUUCCUCCAGUUCCGUGAUCCUGGUCAUCGCCUUCUUCAGAUCUAUCAUGCCUACGCACAUCUGGUUCUCCUUGUGACGAAUGUGCUGGUUUAACUCCUGGAUGAAAGCUGCAAUUGAUCUAUCUUUCCUGGUGUUGAUCAUCUCCCAUUGCUCAUCUCGGCGCCCACAAAUCUGGUAGAUAGUAUCCUUAAGCUCCUUUUGGUAAACUUCUCCAAUGCAUCCCAUGGUGAUGUGAGCUGCCAUACUCUUUCCUAGACUCCAGGUUGGUGCAUCAAAGGAAAACUCUAUGGGCUUAGUGACUGGCAUGAAUGUUCUUCCUGGAACUUGAACUUGAAUCAUCCAUCGCUCCUCUUCUGGUAAAGUGGCAUUGUAAGUCCCAGUGAAGCUUGGUAUUCCUAUGUUCAGGUACCUAGUGACUUCCUUCAAGUGUCGUCCAAAAGGUGCGUCUUCAUCCAGUUGUGCAAACUUGUUCCUUGCGUCCGCCAUCCUAAAGAGUGUAAAAUGGAGAGGAGUCAGAAAUGAGAAGAGAAUAGUGAUCUAGGGUUUUAGCUUAGUGGUUGUGUCCUACACUCAGCAUGUGCUCUGAUACCAUCUUGUAGCGACCGAACCUCAAACGGUCAAGUCUCUGUGCUUCCGUGUCAUCCCUGGAUCUGUAAUGCUGACACACACAAUACUCGAAGGAUUUAUAACAGAGUAGCAAUCACACACUUAUUACAUCGAAUGUCUCAAAAGAGAUCUUAUUACAAUAAAUAUGGCUUAAGUCCAUCUAAUACGAUAACAACGGAAGGCUUGGAAGAUAAAGUGAGUCUAUCAACUCCAACGGCAUAGCUAAGCUGCACGUCAACGACCUAAUGAACCUUACUCCUCGUCUGAAAAGUCUGCAACAUAAUACGUUGCAGCCCGAAAAUGGGUCAGCACAUGGAAUAUGCUGGCAAUAUAACACAGUAGAGCAAGAACAGAAUAAUGCUAUCACUACAUGCAUAUUUGGCUGGUGGAAAGCUCUAUGGUUAUAGUUUUUGCGAAAAGCCAAUUUUUUCCUACAACAAAGGAAUAGAUUUUAUUUUAACUAUCAUGGUAGUUGAAGCAUCAUUGAGAAGGUUCCUCCAACUCAAUCCCAAUUAAAGUAAAUAACAACCCUACAAUAUUUGUUUAGAGAGUGAUGAGAUACUUAAGAUACUCCAAGUACUGGAUACUCAAAAUUGUCCGUGACCGGGGACAUGAUUAACCAUGAUUAGAUUGUACACUCUGCAGUGGUUUGCACACUUUUACCCACAAUACUCGAUCGCCUCCGUUGAAUUUCUUGCACUACAUGGUGUUUGAGAAACGGAUGACCGAGACACAGUCUUUCAGAAACAUUAACUCUCUACUCCGGGCAGACCAUACCAAACCUACAACCCACUACUUGCUGAUCUACGUCUUCGAGCGCUUCACAUAAGUUACUCAACUAUGCUAGAGGCCACAAUAGCUUGUGGUUGCACACGGAAGUUUCUAGGAUGAAUCAUCUCAGUUUCCUUUGAGCCUGGGUGGCGGUCCAUAGGAAGAUCACAUAGAACCCCAGGACUUCCAAAAAUACAGGCAACACUGGAUUCUCCAGGUGCCUCAAUCCACCCAGACGUGUAUUGAAGUUGCCACCUUAAGUUGAACCAUUAAUUAACAAUCUCACAUCUGUCAUGGAUUUCACUCACCCAAACCACGUCUACGAGCAUAGCAUAGCAAUAUAAGCAAUACGUAGAAGUAACUCCCAAAGGUUCAAAUGUAAGAGGGCAAUUGGUUCUACCUCAUCAACUACUUCCCAACCCACAUGUUACUGACAUCCUAAUCAUGCAGUGUUUGAGGAUUGAAACUAAUGCAUAAAAACUGGGUAUGGAGAGAGUAUGAUCAAUGUGUUACUUGCCUUACUGACGACCCGUGAAACCUAGGGACUCGUAGUAGCACACUUCGCACUCCGGGAAUUCUAUCACAAACAAACAAUAGCUUACAUAAGCAAUCAAGCAAAGAUGCACGGGAAAAACUCAAAUAAGAAGAAUUUACCAGAAAGAUCAACUUAAGAACUCCAGUUAGCGAAAAGAAUCAAAUCGAACGGAGCAACGAAACUGAAACGGCGAAAGAAACAAGAUCCGUUUACUAAUCUCAAGGCGAAGAUCUAGGCGCUUGAAUCGCCUGAUUCCGAUAAACGAGCGAAAAGAUAAACUGAAACGAAAAUCGGAUCAGAAAUCGCGAUUGGAAAUAAUCACGGAGAAAUCCGAUAAAAAGAAAACUGAUGAACAACCUAACGAACGAACAUUCAUUGUCUGUAGCUAUCAAGUGAAAACCGUUCGUUAAAACAAACGUACGGACGAACGUCCGCUAAAUAGAAGAACCGGGAAAACCGGCGAACCGAUCUAAAAAAAUGAACUAGGGUUUUUCUAAAAAAACCGAAUUGGUUUUCUUAAAAAAACCGGUGACGACAAACAAGGCGUUACCUCUCCGGCGAGGCGGCGGGCUUGCGGGACGGUGGGGCGAGGCGGCGCGACGCGGCGAGGGGCGNNNNNNNNNNNNNNNNNNNNNNNNNNNNNNNNNNNNNNNNNNNNNNNNNNNNNNNNNNNNNNNNNNNNNNNNNNNNNNNNNNNNNNNNNNNNNNNNNNNNNNNNNNNNNNNNNNNNNNNNNNNNNNNNNNNNNNNNNNNNNNNNNNNNNNNNNNNNNNNNNNNNNNNNNNNNNNNNNNNNNNNNNNNNNNNNNNNNNNNNNNNNNNNNNNNNNNNNNNNNNNNNNNNNNNNNNNNNNNNNNNNNNNNNNNNNNNNNNNNNNNNNNNNNNNNNNNNNNNNNNNNNNNNNNNNNNNNNNNNNNNNNNNNNNNNNNNNNNNNNNNNNNNNNNNNNNNNNNNNNNNNNNNNNNNNNNNNNNNNNNNNNNNNNNNNNNNNNNNNNNNNNNNNNNNNNNNNNNNNNNNNNNNNNNNNNNNNNNNNNNNNNNNNNNNNNNNNNNNNNNNNNNNNNNNNNNNNNNNNNNNNNNNNNNNNNNNNNNNNNNNNNNNNNNNNNNGGCGACGCGGCUCUGCUUGGGAGGCGGGGCUGCGGGCAGCAGGGUUUGGUAGUGGUGGCGUGGGGAGGGGGGUUCGGGGUAUUUAAGGAGGGGAGGGGGUGGCUUAGAGGAGGGGGCAAGGCGGUGGGGAGGAGGAGUCCGGCUCGGACUCCGGUCCGAGUCGGCGGCGGGGGCGCGCGGCCUCCUGGCGGGAGACGGCGGCGCGGGGAGGACGGGCCGGCUCGGCUAGGCCUUGGCCCAGUCGGUCGCUGGAAGUUUUUUUAAACAAUUCCCGCAAACAGAAAAUAAAUCCUAGAAAAGAAAAUUCUAAAAAUGCCAAAACAAAUUUUCACCGUCUAAAUAAAAUAUUUAGAACGAGAUGAACAUUUACUUGGCCCUAAAAUGCAAUUUUCAAAACGUGCAAUUUUUCUAGUGCAAAUAAAAUUGCAAUAAAAUCCAAAUAAAAUCGAAUAUUUGAUUUUAAUAUUUUUCCUCCAAUAUUUCAAUUUUUUUGGAGAAGUCAUAUUAUCUCCUCUCAUAUAUUUUAAUAUGAAAUAUUUUUAGAGAGAAAAAUGAUUAAAACCAAAAUCCUCGUUUCAAUACUUGAUAAAAAUCAAAUAUGAAAACCCGGAAAUCCCCAACUCUCUCCGAGGGUCCUUGAGUUGCUUAGGAUUUCGAUGAUUGCGAAACAAAAAUGCAAUAAAAUAUGAUAUGCAUGAAUGAUGUAUGUAUAACAUUCCAAAUUGAAAAUUUGGGAUGUUACAAUCGUGGCUGUGCGGGGCGGAGGCGACGGAGGUUCACGGUGGCGCUUGCUGGCGGCAGCGGCGCUAGGCGGCGGCGGGAGGUGAGGAGGCGGCGGCGCAGGGAUCCGGCGGGAUGCGGGCGUGGGGGCGGUGGCGGGCCGAGCGUGGGCCUUGCAGGCUGCAGCGGCGGAGGGCGGUGCAGGGAUAGGUGUCAGGCACUGGUUGGUCGGGCGCGGCGGCGCGGAGUUGUCUGGCGGGCGAAAGGAGUGGGGCUAGGGUUUCAGGACCCGUGAUUUGAGGGGGAGACACAUAUUUAUAGGUAGGGGGAGCUAGGAGAGUCCAAAUGAGGUGUGGUUUUCGCCCACAUGAUCGUGAUCCAACGACGGAGAGCAUGGAGGGGGUUUAGAUGGGUUGGUGGGCUGUUUUGGAGGGGUGUUGGGCUGCAACAAAAGAGGGGAUUUUGCGGUUACCCGGUUAACCAUUUGGGCAUCAAAUGACCCGGUGAUGUACCAAGGCUACUCGACAAAUCUCGACCCAUACCGAGAACGUUUUGCUCCCGCUCAUGAAACGAGGUUAGAGGGUGCAACGGGGGCACGAGAGACCGUCGGAUUGCAAAACGGACAACGGGGAAAAGGACUGGAUGCAUGAGACGAACACGAAUGCAAAUGCGAUGCACAUGAUGACAUGAUAUGAACUGCAUGACAUGGACAGAAUGCGAAAUGAAAGGCAAAACCCAAUGGCGAAGGGAAUAUCAUAUUGCAUAGCUGGAAAUGGCAAGAGUUGGAGUUACAAAUAUGGAAAGUUACAUCCGGGGUGUUACAGAGGGGCACACGGCAAACCAUGUCCAAACGCCAUGCCAGCCGAGCGGUAGCUAAUCCGGCUCUGGAAUCGUCAACCAGGACGACAGCAGAUGCGGAAGCAAUGCUAGAUCAACCUCCUCAUGAGGAUUCAGAUGAUGUAUCCAUCACGAAUUCCAAGGUGGAGAGUGUGAUGAAUCAUCGAUGACUGAAAGAGGCUAUGCGCGCUCCAGCUUUUUCUAAGCUGAAAUUUACUGGCCUCAGCUCCGUGGAUGCAUAUAUCUGAGCCGCCCGGGAUGGACUUGCUGGAGUUACUCAACUAUUUUCAAAGGAUAUGCAGUCAAUAGUUUGUGCAAAUUUAAUAGAUAUACGCCAGUAGCACCCGAGACUUGAAGCAGUUAGGUCGGCCGUUUUAAGGAUCGUUAUGACUGCACGCUGUGAGAGAGAAGAACAACGCGUUGUCCUAGGUGCUGAAAACGAGCCAGACAAAGCUGAAUGCCGCCACCACAGAGCUCGAAGAAAUGAAAAAGCCACAAUGACCAUCGAUCAAAAGAACAAACUCGAGGAGGAAAAGGAUAAACAAGCUGAAGAGAUAAAGAGCUUAAAGGCUCAGUUAUUUGACGCGUAAGAAGAGAAUAAGAAGUUGAAAGGCGGCAUAUUCGAUAUGACCUUUUGAACCAUCCAGGGGAUUCAUAGCAUCCCCUAAUUCGGAUAGUUACAAUGCUUUUGUUGCAGGUCUGUUAACGGGCGUCCUAAAGAAGAAGUAUCCGGAUUUCAAGGCGACGUGCUAAAAGAGCUGUCCAUGGUGCAUGAGCGGGGCCGGGAAGCUACAAGAAGUAUGGCUAAAGCUUUAUGGCCACCUGAUGCCCCUCCAAAAAGUAUGGAGGGGUUGGCAAACCUGUUUAAAGGUGCCCGAUGCCGUUUUGAGUUAUGGAAGGUGUCAGCAUGCUGGGACGAUGCACGAGAGGCAUGGGCGAUGGUGAAAACGUGCUACACCGGGCUCAAUCCGAAUCAUAUGGCCCGAGUUGGACCUCAGGGCCCGGACGGGAAAUAGAUUCCCGUGAGUUUGGUAUAUGACCAAGUAAAGAUAGCUGUGAAAUACUCGCAAGAAGACUGUAGCUUAGACAGUCUUAUAGAUGGACAUAGAUAAAGAGUACUCAUUCGAUUCAAUGUAUCAAUGUACUUUACCAUCGAACUUAUCUCCCACCGAACAUGUCAAAAUUUGUCAUCGUAGGCCUUUGGCUUCAACCUCCGAACCAAGAAGUUGGAGUGUUUCUGGAUACCAGGUUGGAAUGUAAUAAACAUUCAUUAUGUCCGGAAACAAGGAAAUCCGGUCAUAUUGCUCAAACAGACAAAAUUUGUUCGGAGAGUUAUGUUAUAUUACUAUUUAACGUAAGAAACAACUUCCAGGGAAAAUAGUUCCAUUAAGGGUUCCUUUCCUUGGGUCGGCAUGCUUAAUUAUGCAUGCCUAGGCUUUGAUCUGAAUUACGGGGAGCCUAUCCCGUAUUUGUUAUAAGAAUUACAUAAACAUAGACAAUAUGUCGGUGCUUGCCGCCCAAUUAUUCUCUUAAGAAUGCUAGCUUUCGGGUUCACCCAUCUGAGGUACAUUUCCGGAUUACCCGGUUGUAAUAAUCGCUGAGGUGCUCCAUUUACACCCUAGCCAAACAAUCGGGAAUGUAAGGUAUAAACACAGGAGCAAGGCAACCCGGCUUGGUAAAAACUUAAGUCAUAGAGGUGCAUUUAAUGGCAAAAGAUGUAUAGAGCAAAUGACAUAAACCAUAAAAGCGACAAGCCUUUGGUGAGAUGCUUACCUCUAACCGUUCGGUAGUUCCGAACAUACCCUGGGAUAAAAAGGAAAAAUAAAAAGGAGAGGAGAAAAAGGAACCAAGUCAAAGAAAAAAUAAAAAGGAGUUUGACCGAACUAUCCAUAGAAUUGUCGGAGUCGAGCAACAUUCCAUGGAUUCGGCUCAAGGCGAUUAUCCGAUGCAUUACGAAGGUGAUAGGCUCCUCCUGUGAGAACUUCAUCUAUGAUGAAGGGGCCUUCCCAUUUUGGUUUAAGCUUAUCCUUCUUCUUCUCAGGGAGACACAAGACGAGCUCGCCGACGUUAUAUGUCUUGGCCCGCACUUCUCUGCUUUGGUAUCUCCUGGCCUGUUGUUGGUAAAAUGCGGAUCGGGCUUGUGCAAUAUCACACUCCACUUCAAUGGCGUCUAGGUCGUCCUACCGAUCGAGCUCGGCUUCUCGCUCUUCAUACAUGUGCACUCAAGGUGAGUCAUGAAUAAUGUCGCAGGGCAAGAUAGCUUAUGCGCCGUACACCAUCACUACAAGAAAUAUGUCAACUUAUGACCUUCUCUUAGUGACCCUAGUUGAAUUGGUCGUAAAUUUACAGCCAUUUCGCUUGGAACGGCUCAAACCCUGAAAUUGCUUACACCAAAUGGUCACAAAGCAGACAAGAGGCACCAACGACCUUAUUUCUACCUGAUUACGACCAAUAUAAAUGGUCAUGAGGUUGUGAACGUGGAUGCAUUGGUACUUAUUGCUAUGACAAGGCGCCACCUCAUUAGUUUUGCCUAUGUUUCAUGUCCGUGUGUUAAUUUUUUCCCUAGGUUGUGAAGCAACCUAUAUUCAUUCCCAAAAUUCCCAAAAAAAUUGGGCAUUCUUUACUAUCCAAAUCAUUGCCUCAUGACAAUAUUCAACUCCAUUUGACUGGUAAAUCUUCCUCGGCAAAUUUCCAAAGUUUUUGUUCAGCUCAAACUGUUGUGAAGGAAGUACUGGCUAGGCAUAUCCUAAUGAGCUGAAUUUUUUCCACAUCUUCUAUAUUCCCAAAUCAUAGCCCUCCACAAAAUUGAACCCCAUCUAACAAUACAUGUGAGUGUGGCUUCAACAUUCAUAUUUCUAUCCAGUGCGGUACGUUGCAAAGCAAGUGACACCUAGGCUCCUACAUUUGAGCUGCAAAUUUUUCAAGAUAGUGUCCUUAUUAGAUGAUCAUCCUCGGCCAAAACUUAGGCCCAUUGGCCAUGUGCAUUUCCCGUACCACUAAUCAAACACUUGGGGUGCUAAUUCAUGUUUGAGCUCGGUUCAGUCUCCUCGUGAGAUUCUUCUAUUGCCUUCUUCUUCCUGACACCUAUCAAGGGAGUGCCCAACCCACUAGACAUGCCUAGGCCGCCCGGAACGCGAGGCAACACCACGGUCACGCGGCGACCACGCGGCGGGCAUGCGAGUCUGCGCGCUUUGGAGUUGGGGCCCUGGGCCACCAUCCAAACCUCAACGUAUCGCCACCAAACCAUGUAUUUCUGAUUAAAUAGAUACGUUUCUACCUAGAAAUGAUUUUUUGAAAAAAUAAAGAGCAAACUAUGAGGCAGCUGCAGUUCAAAUUUGUCUCGCUUCCUGCUGAAUCAGCAAAAAAUUGUCUUUUUCACCAGAGGUGGAUAAAAACUUUUGGCACCCAACCAUUUUGUCAAUUGUGCUUUAAACAUGGCCUAGUAUUUUAUAAAAUUGAUUUGGUCCAAUUUUCUAACAAAUAUAUGGUAGGUCCUUCACAAAAAAACUCAUUUUGGGCACUCGAACAAUGGAAAAUUUUCGUCCAAAGAAAAUGAAAACUUCCUUAGGCAACAUUGUUUGCCAUUCCAAUAUGCACCCUUGUGCACAAUAUGAGAUCAUUUGAACAUACUAUGCCAUGAAUGUGGCCAUAAGAUUGAUCAUUUGGCUUGAAAGCCAUGAAUCUUGAGAGAUGAUAGCUCAUUUCUGAGAACACUUUUUUAAAAUAAUUGCCGUAUUACAAGUUUGUUAUUUUUCCUGGGAACUGGGCCACAUAUAAUGACACAAUGCGAAGGUUUCCCAAUUUUUUGAAUUUUUUUGAAUUUUUUAUGCCCGUUUCAAAAUGCGGUCAAAACGGCGGGAAUGACCGUUCCUAGCUAGUGGUUGAAUCUUGGAAUUUUUUUGGUGUUUCUCUGAUUAAAUAGAUACUUAUGUACCUAGAAAUGAUUUUUGAAAAAAAUAAAUAGCAAACUAUGAGGCAGCUGCAGUUCAAAUUUGACCCGCUUCCAACUGAAUCGGCGGAAAUUUGUCUUUUUCACGAGAGGUGGAUCAAAACUUUUUACACCCAACCAUUUGGUCAAUUGUGCAUUAAAUAUGUCCUAGUAUUUUAUAAAAUUGAUUUGGUCCAAUUUUGCAACAAUUAUGUGGGAGGUCCUUCACAAAAAAACCUCAUUUUGGGCACUCGAAAAAUGGAAAAUGGUUUUUUUCAUCCAAAGAAAAUAAAAAAUUCCUUAGGCAACAUUGUUUCCAUUCCAAUAUGCACCCUUGUGCACAAUAUGAUAUCAUUUGAACGAACUAUGCCAUGAAUGUGGCCAUAAGAUUGAUCAUUUGGCUUGAAAGCCAUGAAUCUUCAUGCAUGAUAGCUCAUUUCUGAGAACACUUUUUUAAAAUAAUUUCCAUAUUACAACUUUAUUAUUUUUCUUGGUAACUUGGUCACAUAUAAUGACACAAUGCGAAGGUUUUCCAUUUUUUUUGAUUUUUUUUUGAAUUUGUUAUGCCCAUUUCAAAAUGCGGUCAAAACGGCGGGCUUGACCGUUCCUAGCUAGUGAUUAAAUCUUGGAAAACUUGUGAUGUUUCUCUUAUUAAAUAGAUACUUUUGUACCUAAUUUUUUUUUGGGAAAAAUAAAUAGCAAACUAUGAGGCAGCUGCAGUUCAAAUUUGACCCGCUUCCAACUAAUUUGCCAGAAAUUUGUCUUUUUCACGAGAGGUGGAUAAAAGCUUCUGACACCCAACCAUUUAGUCAAUUAUGCAUUAAAUAUCGCCUAGUAUUUUAGAAAAUUGAUUUGGUCCAAUUUUGCAACACUUAUUUGGUAGGUCCUUCACAAAAAAAACUCAUUUUGGGCACUCAGAAAAUGGAAAAUAAUUUUUUCGUCCAAACAAAAUGAAAAAUUCCUUAGGAAACAUUGUUUGCAAUUCCAAUAUGCACCCUUGUGCACAAUAUGAGAUCAUUUGAACAAACUAUACCAUGAAUGUGGCCAUAAGAUUGAUCAUUUGGCUUGAAAGCCAUUGAUCUCCACACAUGAUAGCUCAUUUCUGAGAACACUUUUUUAAAAUAAUAAUCAUAUUACUAGUUUAUUAUUUUUACUGGUAACUAGGCCACAUAUAAUGACACCAUGCGAAGGUUUUUCAUUUUUUUUUGAUUUUUUUGAAUUUUUUAUGCCCGUUUCAAAAUGCGGUCAAAACGGCGGGCUUGACCGUUCCUAGCUAGUGGUUGAAUCUUGGAAAACUUUUGGUGUUUCUAUGAUUAAAUAGAUACUUUUGUACCUAAAAAUGAUUUUUGGAAAAAAAAAUAUAGAACAAACUAUGAGGCAACUGCAGUUCAAAUCUGACCCGCUUCUAGCUGAAUCUGUAGAAAUUUGUCUUUUUCAUGAGAGGUGGACCAAAACUUUUGACACCCAACCAUUUGGUCAAUUGUGCAUUAAAUAUGGCCUAUUAUUUUAUAAAAAUGGUGCGGUCCAAUUUUGCAACAAAUAUAUGGUAGGUCCUUCACAGAAAAACUCAUUUUGGCCAUUCAAAAAAUGAAAAAUGGUUUUUUUGUCAAAAGGAAAUGAAAAUUUUCUGAGGCAACAUUGUUUGCCAUUCCAAAAUUCACCCUUGUGCACAAUAUGUGAUCAUUUGAAACAAAAGAUUUGGUAGGUUCUUCAAAGUAAAACCAUGUCGGGCACUUGAAAAAUAGAAAAUGGCUUUUUUGCAGUGAAAAUGAAAACUCCCCAGAUCAACACCAUUUGUCAUCCCAAGAUACACACAUGUGCACAAUAUUCAUUCAUUUUAACAAACUAUUAUUGGUUAAUAUGUUGAAUGUUUGCCCUAAGUAAGAGGGUAAAUAACCAUAAGAGAAACAAAAGGGAAAAACAAAAUUACAUAAGCUUAAUUUUGAUUGGUGGAAUCCAUUGUGGCAUGGAUCGAUGACAUGGCAAACAUCCGUCCGUCCAUCCAUCCAUCUGUCCAUCCAACCCACCACAGCAAACCCCACUCUCUCUCUCUCGCGCACGUACCCCACCUAACCCCUCUUUCCCUCCUCUCUCUCUCUCUCGGGAACCCUAGCGCUCCACUCCUCCCUUGCCGCCGCCACCUCCGGCGGUAAUCGAAGACCAUAUCCGGUGAGAUCUGGCGCGCGCAGCGAGAUCCAUCUCUCUCUCACACACGAGAAGGAAAAUCCCCCGCCCCAUUCCCACGACUCAUCUGCCUCUCCCUCGAUCCCCUUCCUUCCCGAGGACGCACGCGCCGCCGCCUCCCCGAUCCCCUUCUCCCCUCGCCACCCCACAUCACCCCGCCAUCCACCUCGUCGCCUCCCUGAUUCAUCCUCCUCCUCCUCCUAUUCCCCUCAUCAGAUCCAUCCAUCCAUUCAUUUUUCCAUCAGAUCCACCUGACGCCAUCGCAUCCCCUUCUCGCUCGCAGGGUUGCAGGCGAUUCAAUCUGGUCCGGGUCCAUGGCGUCCAAGGCCGUGGCGGCGCUACUGGUGACGGACGAGCUGGCCCUGCCGCUCCGUGCGGUGGGGGACGGCAGCGGGGAAGCACGCAGCUGCGCAGCGACCGCGUGAGGUUUCAGUGAGCGGCCGCAUUGCUACGGCAGGAGGACCAACGCGCGCUUCCGGCGACGAGGCUCCAUCGCGCGAACCAAGACACGGACUCGACAGGAUGGCUCUGCGGGACUCCAGUGUCAGAAGCAGCGGUUGGGGCUACGCGGUGACCCCAGGACGCCGCUGCCCGAUUCCGGCGCGAAGGCUACCUCGCGCAAAUCAUGGCGGCCUUGACCAAGGAGGGGUCCGUGCCGCGCGGCGACCGGUGGUGAGCGUCGGUGCUGGCGAGUUUGGGUCAGUACGUCGCGACGGCGGCGAGCCUGCUCGGCGGCCCAUGAUUGGACCUUGGAGCCGCGCGAAGAGAAGGGGAUCCACUCCAAACCCAGGAUAGGUAAAUUUCGAUUUAGUAGUGGAACCAGUAAAUUCAGUAUUGUGUUGCAUAGCUGAAUAUAUCUUCAGAGUUCAGACUAUGAACACUUAUCUUCAGAGUUCAGAGUUGAGAGUUAAAGCUAAAUGGCCACAGUGGUAUAGAUUGUUCUAGUCAAGCAUUUCUUUUUUAAGUUUGAUACUAGUGUUAUUGUUGGAGAUAUAUAGCGGAAAACAACAUCCAAAGUGGUAUAGAUUGUUCUUGUCCAUGAUAUGAUUAUUAUUGAAUUAGGUGGUCCUAGAGAAUGCUCCGCCUAAGCUUUGCUUAGUGGUUGGUUCCAUAUCCUGAAAAUUGCAAUGCAGGUGAAAAGAUUAAAUACCUCGUCAUGCUUGCAAUGGUUUAUGUUGAAUUAUUUUUUUGUAAUCUAUCUUGCUAUACCGGUUCCAAGUGCUUGAGUAGCACCUCUGAGAUAACUCACUUGUGGUUAAUUAGUGGCUGUCAAUGUUUUGUGCAUUCUUUUUUCCUAGGCAUCAUGCAUGGCCGUCUAGUAGUCGACAUACUUCUGGUUCCAUUUAGUGUAUGCAGGUAGCAGCAGCUUAAGUGUAAUGGAGUUGUUGUUACUCUAUGCCUGCUUCAUUAGAGUUUGCAUCAUCUCCUUGUUUAUGUAGAAUAAAUGCCUUCACUAUUCUUGUUUUGAACCUCUGAUCCCGAUACUGAUUGUAUUUCUCUUGAUCGAAUUACAGGCAACAUGGUGACUCUAGUGCUGACAUCUCCCGGUCGCGGCGCGUGUGAUCUGACUGUGUUGGGUUGGUGUCUAGUUGCAGGACAAGGUGGCGAACUCACUGUUUGAGAAGACGUCGAACCAGUUAGGCAUCGGCUGCGCGCUACCGCCCAAGAAGGACCUCCACCUGUUCGCCAGCGCCGCAUACUCAAGCAGCGCAUCCGUGCCCAGCCGCGGUUGUUUUUGCCCAUUUAUGUUGUUGCUUUAGUAGCAUUCUUUCCUUUCUUUUAUGUAGCAGCAGAGCACCACUCUUACUAUGCACUUCGCUCCAGAUUCUGCUACAAUUACAAAUUUAAAAUGCAUUCAUGCAUGAGCAGUGCAUGUGUUGGCUGUCCAUGAGAUCAUGAAUAGUAUGAGCCUUAGAGUCUUGUUCGAACUCAUUGAUGCAACAGAACUCAUUUGGAGAGCUACCUACUCAUUUGGAUGUAAUAUCAUGCUUGCUCUUUUGAAAUCGAUAAUGAUGCAUCAAAUGCUAUUCACAAG
RNAcentral lists this long non-coding RNA (17629 nucleotides) under Triticum aestivum (bread wheat). RNAcentral describes it as "long non-coding RNA (TAES_LNC014815)". The record is from RNAcentral. Lineage: Eukaryota; Viridiplantae; Streptophyta; Magnoliopsida; Poales; Poaceae.